CCUACGGGAGGCUGCAGUGAGGAAUAUUGGUCAAUGGACGAGAGUCUGAACCAGCCAAGUAGCGUGAAGGAUGACUGCCCUCUGGGUUGUAAACUUCUUUUAUAAAGGAAUAAAACGAGGCACGUGUGCAUUUUUGCAUGUACUUUAUGAAUAAGGAUCGGCUAACUCAGUGCCAGCAGCCGCGGUAAUACGGAGGAUCCGAGCGUUAUCCGGAUUUAUUGGGGUUAAAGGGAGCGUAGAUGGGUUGUUAAGUCAGUUGUGAAAGUUUGGGGCUCAACCGUAAAAUUGCAAUUGAUACUGGCAGACUUGAGUACAUUUGAGGAAAGUGGAAUUCGUGGUGUAGCGGUGAAAUGCGUAGAUAUCACGAAGAACCCC
This 375-nucleotide ribosomal RNA is filed under the name uncultured bacterium. RNAcentral describes it as "partial 16S ribosomal RNA". It matches the Rfam family "Bacterial small subunit ribosomal RNA", at positions 338 to 710 of the family's 1533-position model. The record is from RNAcentral.